Molecule: long non-coding RNA, 3244 nt
Organism: Brienomyrus brachyistius
Lineage: Eukaryota; Metazoa; Chordata; Actinopteri; Osteoglossiformes; Mormyridae
Exons: 3
Source: RefSeq, a predicted model, not a curated record
AAACCAGCAACGCGGCCGAAGCGAUGGUGGCCGCUGAGAAGGGAUCGCAAGCCGUGAGCGUUUUAAACUCCCGCAGGAAGCGCAAGCAGCCCUCUCUCAGAAUCUCCACGUCGUUUUUACAGUUUUUCCCCCAGAUGGGAAUGCUUGGUGGUGCUAAAGGCGCUGGAGAAGUAAAACAAGAGAAUCGUCAUGAUGUCACUUGACUUGUCCCUGUAUGAGCAGACUCUGAGAAAUCUGUUCCAGCUCUUUGCCUCUUUUGCAAAAAGUCAAGGAGGAAUUAAAGCAAUUGGAGGAAAAGAAGUGAUAAAACCUGUAACUGAACCUACAGACUGGUGUGCACCAAUGGUACUGGUUCCGAGGAAAAAUGGAAAGGUGUGCGUCUGUUUUUAUUUGAAGAAGUUGAACGAAGCUGUAAAGAGAGAAAGAUACAUUCUUCCAACUGCAGAGGAAAUCACUGCAAAGCUGAGUGGCGCAACCACGUUUACAUCACUAGAUGCUGCCUCAGGAUUUUGGCAGAUUCCUCUUCAUCCUGAAAGCAGCAAGUUAACCACCUUUAUAACACUCUCUGUGAUACGCCUUCAAACGACUCCCAUUUGGGAUUACAAGUGCCCCAGAAAUUUUUCAAUGGAACAUGACAGAGACUCUCAGCAGCCUUGAAGGCGUGGCUGUCUUUAUGGAUGGUGUCCUUGUGUAUGGAGAAACUCCAGAACAACAUGACCAACAUCUCAGCAAAGUGUUGGAGAGUCAGCCAGCCUGAAGCUUAACAUAGAAAAAAGUUCAGGCAGAAUAAGCUUCAGUUCCUGGGCCAAGUCAUUGACAAAUCAGGUAUGAGGCCUGAUCCUGACAAGGUCAAAGCAAUCCAUAAGCUCCCAACGCCACAGAACAUCCAGGUGCUAAAACGUGUUCUGGGCAUGUUGAGCUACUUAGGGAAAUUUAUACCUAAUUUGUCGACAGUGGGCCAGCCGCUAUAAGAACUGCUGAGGUCAAAGUCAGUCUGGACGUGGGACCAUCCUCAGCAGGAGGCAUUGCAGCAGAUUGAAGAAUGUCUGUCCACCUCUUCAGUCCAGAAAUUUUAUGACGUGAACCGAUCAACUGCUGUCUCAGCUGAUGCCAGCAGUUAUGACAUAGGCGGGGUGUUGCUGCAACUGCACGAUGGGGACUGGAAACCUGUGGCAUACUGCUCACGUCGUCUGUCCGACGUCGAAACCAGAUAUGCACAGAUUGAGGAGGAAUGCUUAGCGAGUGUGUGGGCCUGUGAGAGAUUCGAGAAGCACCUGUGUGGCCUUGAAAACUUUAAGUUGGUCACCGACCAUAAACCCUUAUUGCCACUCAUGAACAAAAAAGACUUAGAUAAUGUGCCAAUAUGAUGCCAAAGGCUACUCAUGAGACUUAUGAGAUUUACUCCAACAACUGAAUAUGCACCUGGAAAGACAUUGACAGUGGUUGACACACUCUCACACAGUCCACUACAAUGCCCGGAAAAUGAGAUUGACACUCAUUGAGAUGUAGCAUACUAUAUAGCAGCCGUUGUCGAUAAUAUGCCUGCCACUCCACAUAGGCUGGAAGCCAUAAAGACAGCCAUAAGAGCCGAUCACAAUUUGCAGGUGGUGUUGCGGUAUAUCAAAUCAGGGUGGUCAGAGUACAUAGGUCAUGUGCCAUCAGCAAGAAGGGAGUAUUUUCCAAUCAAAAAUGAACUGUCUGAAUUCAAUGGGAUUGUCACCAGAGGAUGCCGAAUGUGUUGAGAGUAGACAUCAUGGAUUGCAUUCAUGAUGCACAUCAAGGUCUGACAAAAUGUAGGGAGCGGGCCCAUAUGACCGUAUGGUGGCCUGGCAUCUCAUCUGAAAUCAAACACAAGGUCCAGUCCUGUCAGUUGUGUCGUGAGAUGAAACCUACUCAAUGUAGAGAACCUCUGAUCUCAACCCCUCUACCUGAGUGGCCUUGGAGGAGACUCGCUAUUGACCUAUGUAAUCAUGAUGAACAUGCUUACCUUGUGUCAGACUAUUUCUCCAGAUUCCUCGAAAAACUCCAUUUGGCAUCAACCACCGCCUCUCAGGUUAUCUUAAAACUAAAACUCAAAACUACUCUUCCAACACUAGAAGGAAACGAUGGCCUGGUCUGGAAAUUGUCAGGAAUAAGGAAGCCAAUGAGAAAAAGAAACAAGCCUUCUACUUCAAUCCGCGCCACGUUGCAAAACCCCUACCCUCACUAAAACCAGGAGAUCCCGUCCUCAUUAAGCUGGACCAUCAAAUGUCCUGGCAGGCACCCGCUGUUGUCACUGGAGAAAGCAUCACACCUCGCUCCUAUCUCAUUGAAACACCCCAGAGAGGAAAAUUCAGACACAAACGUCAUCAUCUACAACAUGCUCCUGACAAACAUCAGCCCGGAACUAGCAAACAUCAGCCUGAUCCUGCAGUCUCCACUGACACUGCUUCACUGACCCCCAGUACCAUAUCACCAGACACUCAGAAUGGACUGUUCCGUAUGCGGUCUGGCAGACCAAGUAAACCUGUUGAAAGACUAAAUCUGUGAAAAGAGAAAAAAAAGUCAUAUGUUCGUUUUGUUCGGGGUAAAUAAUAUAUUUACUGCACUAGCUGUGGCUAUUUUGUUUAAGAAUUCAGUCAGAUUGUGGGGAAGGAAGAGAGAAAGCUUAUUGUUUUUGUGAAUGGUAAUGUUUAUUAAAACUGUGUACUAAGUACUAAAGUACUAAGUAAAGUACUAGGCUAAAGUACUAAUGCUCUAAUAAUGGACAGACUAAUGUUUGAUGAGUUGAACAAAUUAAUACUAGUUCCAGAUUGAGGUGAUGAAUGCAGUAUCCUUCUAAUGUUCAGUAAGGAAGAGGCAAUGUUUUAUUGUCUUGUUUUGUCCAAAAGUAAAAAAAUAAAAAACUGAAAAGGGGAGAUGUCAAAUAAUGUGCACAUAUAAACGGUGCAAUACAGCCUUAAGUGCGUUUAGGUUUAUGCCAUGGGUAAUGCGCAUGGAUAGCAAUGCACAUGUCUACGUUAGUCUUACGUUACGGGUAGAGAAGAAAAGUUUGUACCGCUUGCCUGUCUGUAUUGCUUGUUCGCAGGGAUAUCAAAUUACAGUCUUCACUGGACUCCAAGUCUGUGUGGAUAUCGAAUUCUUUACAGUAUCAACCAAAAAAAGAAUUACUAUGAUUUACAUCUUAUCUGAGGUCUUCAAUGAACAACAAUCAGCUGUUAGCAGCUGUUUAUUAGGAAAUUCACUACGCAAAUGUCACAAGCAA